Molecule: long non-coding RNA, 2637 nt
Filed under: Medicago truncatula (barrel medic)
Lineage: Eukaryota; Viridiplantae; Streptophyta; Magnoliopsida; Fabales; Fabaceae
Description: lncRNA gene17224
Source: RNAcentral
UCCCGGUGUCUCAGGAUUGCUCAGGUUCAGGUAUUUGUUGAAGAGCCACCUUGAAGUGUUUAAAGCAUCUCCUCUGCUUACAACUGGAAAUAUAUUUCUACGGCUUUGCCAAUCAUUGGUAAGUUUUAUCCACUCCUUCCUCCAUUCCUUUAGCUUGAAAUCCUCGCCUGCCUCUAAGCUUUCUCUCAAAUAUUUAAAAUAAAUAGCAGCUCUUGGGCCAUAAUAAUCACUCAGAAGCCCACUCCAGUACUUGUUCCCUGUGGAAAAUAGUAAAACAAUCAUUUAAUAUGUCCAAACAUCGCACUACUUUUAUUUUCUUUUUCUCUGUUAAUUGCUGUUCAUACCAUAGUCACGAAGCAGACUGGCUUCUUCCUCUGUGUUGUCAAACCACAUGGUGAUUUGUGUUCUAGCAUUCCACUCAAACUGAAAAUGUUAAGAACUGUAAAUCAACAUAAGUAUGUAUAGGAUCGGAUUGAUUUUCAAUUUUAUGCUUAUAGAAGGCAAUCAAACCUGUCUCUUCUGUUCUUCAUUUUGAGCUAGUUGUAUUGCACUAUCUAACCAGGGGCCUAGAAGAAAUCCAUCAUGGCAAGCCAACAACGUGUCUAAAUCUUCCACCAGGUCAAGAAAUCUUUGGCUGAGUAGGGUCACUUCAUGGAUAUCUCUUGAUUGGUAUGCCUCAAUGACCUUAAAGAACAGCUGAUUUGCAUAUUUUGCUAACACUUGUCUGGUGAGAUCAACAAGAUCAUACCUAAUAAAGAAUAAAUAGCAUGAAUCUUCUUAUAAAAAAAAAAAAAUAGUAAGAAUCUGGAUUUUUUUUUUGAAGAAGUAAGAAUCUGGAUAUUGAACCUUAACAUACAAUAAGACAACAUUGAGGUACUUAAUGAGGACUGGUAAUUCUUAAGUAAUCAACUUCUCUUACCUAUAUGUACUACUUUUUGGAAGUUCGUUUCCACUAGAUAUAAAUAGCUCCAAUGCAUAAAUUACUUCAGAUGUUGAAUACCAUAAGUGAGGUCGAUCAAAUGAAUCAGUUAUUUCCUUGCUAACUGCUCUCGAGAAUGGCUUGCCAUAGGGGCGAGAGUGUUCAUGCUGAACUGAAAGUAAGGAAGGGUCUACAUCUGGGAAUGCUACAAUGACAUCUCUGUUUUUGUCCUGUUCCCAUACACCAAAAAAUAUUUGGUAAAACUGAAAAUGAUCUUCUUAUUUAUGCAUGCAAAGUUGAAAUUCAACAUAAUAUAUGCAGCUGAGGAUGUUAUUAGUUUACAGAAGUCGUUUGUGAGAUAAAAGGAGAACAGAAAAUUGAGGAGAAAAAGUAAUACAUAAAUCAUUUAUUUUGUUUGACAUAAAUACAACACACCAUAAAAGGAAAAAUGGAAGUUUAGCAAUGAAGGCGAGACAGUAAAUGAACAAUGGUAAAAGUUGAACAGAUAAUUAAAACAAAUAGUCUUAUGUUGUUCGACUGGAAGAAAUUGCUAGCAGCGGGUUAUUUGUAACAACCAACUACUUACAUAGGCUCCAUCAGUGCAAUUGUAUAUGGUAUGAUACAAAACAUUCCAUCCCUCUUGUAUCAAAGGAACUUGUCUUCCAUAUCGUCUGGUUGAAUACAAAUCAACCCAUGCCUGAAAUAGGAACAACCGUAAUGCAUUUCAGUCUGAAAACAAUACCAAGUUAGUGAAAAUAGAAACUAAAUAAAGCAAAGCAUGGAACAAGGGAAGUGCUUUCGACUUCAGACAUUUAAUAGCUUUAUUGUUAAAACCAAAUGACUUAAUAGAUAUGCAUAAUAUCAUUAAAGGGUUCCCAAUGCACAAGGCUCCCAACAAGUGGGGUCUGGAGAUGGAAGAUACACACAGCCUUACCACCGCAAAUGGAGAGACCUUUUACAAAAUAUGAACCCUUGACGUACAGGCUAUCUAACACUUUUAGUUGAAAGUGUGUCCGACACUGCCACAAGUGGUUGCAUUUAAUCACUUUCAUUUUCUCAAAUUAUUACUAGUGUCUAUGUGUCAGUGUCAUGUACGGAUGUCCUUGUGUGUGUCGGUGCUUCACAGCUUCAUGGUCACAAGGCAUCUAUGCCGAAUCAGAAUAACAUUGCCACAAAUAAAAUAAAAAUGCCACAAGGAAUACGUAACAUUGUUCGCCUGGUAAUGCUUAUUUUAUUCAAGGUUAGAGGCAGCUAUAUAACUUCAUAUAUUCUGAUCAUAAUUAUCAGCAAACUGAGGUUCAAUAUUCUGGUUGUUCUAUAGAAAGGGGGUUGCAGACGAGGGAAGAGAGGAAAAAUAGUGUCAGGAUUAUAUUCGAUGUACAAAAUUACUAAGUAGAGGUGAAUAACUAAAUUUGUGGUAGAAAAUUUCUCCUCAACCAAAUGUGGCAAACAAUAUGAGCACAUCUCUAUAUUAAAAAUACUGGGCUCCUACAAUGUGAGGGGUUCCAUAGGUCACGGCCCACGGGAGAUCCCCCUAACAUGAGAACAUGGUAAGAGUAAGACCUUGAUUGAAAUAGUACAACAUAUCUUAUAUUAUUUCAUUGUUACCUUAGCAUCAAUUUUAUUGUGCUGAAAUGACAUUUCAGACAUCAGAUCAUAUACAACAGGAUUCUGUUCGAUACCUUCCAUCGACAUUCCAACUCCAACCUUCAGAAAAU